GAGGGGCCCUUCUCGGGUUACCGAAUUCAGACAAACUCCGAAUGCCAAUCAAUUUAACUUGGGAGUCAGAACGCGGGUGAUAAGGUCCGUGUUCGAAAGGGAAACAGCCCAGACCACCAGCUAAGGUCCCAAAAUAUAUGUUAAGUGGAAAAGGAUGUGGCGUUGCCCAGACAACUAGGAUGUUGGCUUAGAAGCAGCCAUCAUUUAAAGAGUGCGUAAUAGCUCACUAGUCGAGUGACACUGCGCCGAAAAUGUACCGGGGCUAAACAUAUUACCGAAGCUGUGGAUUGUCCGUAGGACAAUGGUAGGAGAGCGUUCUAAGGGCGUUGAAGCAUGAUCGCAAGGACAUGUGGAGCGCUUAGAA
This 364-nucleotide ribosomal RNA is filed under the name Staphylococcus gallinarum. RNAcentral's name for it is "bacterial LSU rRNA". It matches the Rfam family "Bacterial large subunit ribosomal RNA", at positions 920 to 1287 of the family's 2925-position model. The record is from RNAcentral. Lineage: Bacteria; Bacillati; Bacillota; Bacilli; Caryophanales; Staphylococcaceae.